GGGCGUGUAGCUCAGUGGAUUAGAGCGUCAGAUUCCGGUUCUGUAGGUCGGGGGUUCGAAUCCCUCCACGCUCG
Fischerella sp. is the source of this 74-nucleotide transfer RNA. It matches the Rfam family "tRNA". Rfam says of the family: Transfer RNA (tRNA) molecules are approximately 80 nucleotides in length. Their secondary structure includes four short double-helical elements and three loops (D, anti-codon, and T loops). The record is from Rfam. NCBI's taxonomy places the organism in Bacteria, Bacillati, Cyanobacteriota, Cyanophyceae, Nostocales, Hapalosiphonaceae.